UCAAGCAAGAAAGAGCGCAGGGUGGAUGCCUUGGCACUAAGAGCCGAAGAAAGACGUGAUAAGCUGCGAAAAGCUGCGGGGAGGAGCAAAUAUCCAUUGAGCCGCAGAUAUCUGAAUGGGGAAACCCGGCUGGACGAACUCCAGUCAUCCAUACGCCAAUCCAUAACGUAUGGAAGGGAACCCGGUGAACUGAAACAUCUAAGUAGCCGGAGGAAGAGAAAACAACAAGUGAUUCUGUGAGUAGCGGCGAGCGAAAACGGAAGAGCCCAAACCGGAAUGCGUGCAUUCCGGGGUUCGGACCGCGUAAUUGAUCUGAUAAGUUUAGCAGAAUGGUUUUGGGAAAGCCAGCCAGAGAGGGUGAAAGCCCCGUAAGCGAAAGACGAGUCAGCAAGGCGGGAUCCAGAGUACCACGAGACACGAGAAACCUUGUGGGAAUGAGCGGGGACCACCCCGUAAGGCUAAAUACUCCUUAGUGACCGAUAGCGCAUAGUACUGUGAAGGAAAGGUGAAAAGGACCCCGGGAGGGGAGUGAAAGAGAACCUGAAACCCUGUGUUUACAAGCUGUGGAAGUUCUUUAAAUGAACAACCGCGUACUUUUUGUAGAACGGUCCGGCGAGUUGCGGAUACUGGCAAGGUUAAGCACUUAAGGUGCGGAGCCGAAGGGAUACCAAGUCUUAACAGGGCGUUAAGUCAGUAUACGCAGACCCGAAACCGGGUGAUCUAUCCAUGUCCAGGUUGAAGUUGUCGUAAAAGACAAUGGAGGACCGAAGCCACAUCCGUUGAAAAGGGUGGGCAUGAGGUGUGGAUAGGGGAGAAAUUCCAAUCGAACCCGGAGAUAGCUGGUUCUCCUCGAAAUAGCUUUAGGGCUAGCCUCGAUUUAGUCUUAUGGAGGUAGAGCACUGAAUUUCCGCGGGGGCGUCAAAGCUUACCAAAGAAUAUCAAACUCCGAAUGCCAUGUAGAUGAUGAAUGGGAGUCAGACUGCACGAGAUAAGUUGGGUGGUCAAAAGGGAAAGAGCCCAGACCUACAGCUAAGGUCCCAAAGUGCGUGUUAAGUGGAAAAGGAUGUGGGAUUUCGAAGACAACUAGGAUGUUGGCUCAGAAGCAGCCACACAUUCAAAGAGUGCGUAAUAGCUCACUAGUCGAGAGGUCCUGCGCCGAAAAUGUCCGGGGCUGAAACACGACACCGAAGCUUAGGAACAGAAAUGUUGGUAGAGGAGCAUUGUUAGCGGAACGAAGCCAUACCGGAAGGAGUGGUGGACUGCUAAGAAGAGAGAAUGCCGGAAUGAGUAGCGAGAUUGAAGUGAGAAUCUUCAAGGCCGAAUAUCUAAGGUUUCCAGGGUAAAGCUGAUCUGCCCUGGGUAAGUCGGGGCCUAAGGCGAGGUCGAAAGACGUAGCCGAUGGACAACAGGUUGAAAUUCCUGUACUGCGAUAUAUCAGAAAUGUGGGGACACAGAAGGAAAGUGUGAGCCGGGAAAGGAAAGACCGGUGCAAGCACAGGAGGAGAGAUACAGGCAAAUCCGUAUUUCAAUCCAAUGGUGUUACGCGGAGCGAACAAAAGUAGCGAAGCACACAGACCAUCUGUCGAGAAAAGCCGCUAUUGUGUAUACCGUACCCGUACCGUAAACCGACACAGGUGGAUGAGGAGAGAAUCCUAAGGCCGGCGGGAGAAGCAUUGUUAAGGAACUCGGCAAAAUGACCCCGUAACUUCGGGAGAAGGGGUGCUCACGCAAGUGAGCCGCAGAGAACUGGCCCAAGCAACUGUUUAGCAAAAACACAGGUCUAUGCAAAACCGAAAGGUGAGGUAUAUGGGCUGACGCCUGCCCGGUGCUGGAAGGUUAAGAGGAGAUGUUAGAGCAAUCGAAGCAUUGAAUUUAAGCCCCAGUAAACGGCGGCCGUAACUAUAACGGUCCUAAGGUAGCGAAAUUCCUUGUCGGGUAAGUUCCGACCC
This 1949-nucleotide ribosomal RNA is filed under the name human gut metagenome. RNAcentral's name for it is "bacterial LSU rRNA". It matches the Rfam family "Bacterial large subunit ribosomal RNA", at positions 3 to 1989 of the family's 2925-position model. The record is from RNAcentral.